GAACGCGAGUGUCCGCCCAUCCCUAUCCCCCAAAGAACUCCUCUUUAUCCAUUGACGGGAGCCGGGAGGAGUCUAAAUCAGGACCGGCGGCUGGAGCGCGAGGAUCUCGUAUCGCCCGGAUCCCAGGAUAUGCAUAUUGCGAUUAUCAAUAACAUGGAGCAUGGACGCAAUCCUGGUAACUGAUGUGAGCGGACGGUCGAUAGCAUAUAUAUACGUUUAUGAACACGCUGUUAACAUAUUAUAGACAUCUGGCCAUGGAUUGCCCACUUUGCAAAAAACCCGCCUGCCGUAUGUGGAGAUCUCGACGGACCGCCCUGCCACAUUUCAGUUCCAAUGACAACCUUCUAUUGGGUUGAAGCUGUAAGUUUGUCCCAUGCUGCAACAGGGGUGUGAUCGAGUCAUGCAUUGAGAAUAUGCGGUUCAUUGCUGCCAGAGAGAAUAAGCCCAUGUGCAAGACAUUCUUUGUAACCAGAGAACUACUUGAGUAUGAAGUGUUGAUUGAUCAUGGAGCUAAGAAGACCAGGAUUCAUGGUGAUGGCUGGCAUAGGUUUCUUGAUGAGUAUGUCGUGCGGCCUGGCGACAUGGUAUAUAUCUGCCUUCCCCGAGGCAAUGGAAGGUUUUUUGUGGAUGUCGAGAGAGAUGGCGUGAAACAUUUAUGUGAUAUGUAACAUUUUUUGGAGCAUUUUAGCUUCGUUGAAUAAUGCAUAUCAGCUUAAAAUUUUGAUCUUUUGUCCAGCUUUGAAUGGCCUGUCACUCAUGAGGCGUGAGCUCAUCGACAAUUGCGUGUACACCAGGAGUGUACCCCGUUUUGAAUAUUCAGAGAUGAAAAAAUGA
Molecule: long non-coding RNA, 834 nt
Organism: Triticum aestivum (bread wheat)
Lineage: Eukaryota; Viridiplantae; Streptophyta; Magnoliopsida; Poales; Poaceae
Exons: 4
Source: RefSeq, a predicted model, not a curated record